RNAcentral lists this transfer RNA (76 nucleotides) under Clostridia bacterium. Its description in RNAcentral is "tRNA-Thr". It matches the Rfam family "tRNA". Rfam says of the family: Transfer RNA (tRNA) molecules are approximately 80 nucleotides in length. Their secondary structure includes four short double-helical elements and three loops (D, anti-codon, and T loops). Further hydrogen bonds mediate the characteristic L-shaped molecular structure. tRNAs have two regions of fundamental functional importance: the anti-codon, which is responsible for specific mRNA codon recognition, and the 3' end, to which the tRNAs corresponding amino acid is attached (by aminoacyl-tRNA synthetases). tRNAs cope with the degeneracy of the genetic code in two manners: having more than one tRNA (with a specific anti-codon) for a particular amino acid; and 'wobble' base-pairing, i.e. permitting non-standard base-pairing at the 3rd anti-codon position. Lineage: Bacteria; Bacillati; Bacillota; Clostridia. The record is from RNAcentral.
GCUGCUAUGGCUCAGCAGGUAGAGCACGUCCUUGGUAAGGACGAGGUCGUCGGUUCGAAUCCGAUUGGCAGCUCCA